Molecule: ribosomal RNA, 253 nt
Filed under: uncultured bacterium
Lineage: Bacteria
Description: partial 16S ribosomal RNA
Rfam family: Bacterial small subunit ribosomal RNA
Source: RNAcentral
UACGUAGGGGGCUAGCGUUGUCCGGAAUCAUUGGGCGUAAAGAGCGUGUAGGCGGCCCGGUAAGUCCGCUGUGAAAGUCGGGGGCUCAACCCUCGAAAGCCGGUGGAUACUGUCGGGCUAGAGUGCGGAAGAGGCGAGUGGAAUUCCUGGUGUAGCGGUGAAGUGCGCAGAUAUCAGGAGGAACACCGAUUGCGAAGGCAGCUCGCUGGGACGUAACUGACGCUGAGACGCGAAAGCGUGGGGAGCAAACAGG